This is a long non-coding RNA of Nothoprocta perdicaria, 291 nucleotides long. RefSeq lists it as uncharacterized. The transcript is spliced from 2 exons. The record is from RefSeq and is a predicted model, not a curated record. Lineage: Eukaryota; Metazoa; Chordata; Aves; Tinamiformes; Tinamidae.
GAAGAUUGCCUGGAUGACAGAUCUGCUUUGAAGACUGUUCAGCCCUGGUGCCAAGCACCUCUCCUGCAGAACGUCAGUGGAGAGCAACAAACUGGGAGCUGGAGUAGGAGCUGCACCGACGUGGAAAGGCUUUGAUCAGGCUUGGCCCACACCCAGCUGAUGAGUGGUGCGGACACGGAUCUCCCUGUGUCCCUGUACCCUGGAGUCCCCAUUUGCCAUCCUCUUGACCCUGGGAGGUGCUGCUGGAAAAAUGGACUGUGCAGAGGAGCUCUGGAUGCUAAAACAUCUCUU